UAAACAGGUAUCCUGUGGGAAUGUGCUGCC
RNAcentral lists this non-coding RNA (30 nucleotides) under Mus musculus (house mouse). Lineage: Eukaryota; Metazoa; Chordata; Mammalia; Rodentia; Muridae. The record is from RNAcentral.